UCAGAAGCAGUGGGAAAAGGUGGCACCUCGGGGCUCAGCUCGAACUGCAAGCACCCCACGGAGAGCUGGGACUCCAGGAAAGAAGGAAGUGAGCGGUGAUACGCAGAACUGGUCACCUUGAGAAUGAAUCCCCAGUGUGACAGCAUCAGAAGUGAGGUUUGUGAGAGCUCUUGGGCAGACAGUGUCCAUCCCAUGCAGAGGACACAGCACGCCUCUCUCGACAGCUGAGAUCACCCCUCACUCAACGCCAAACCUGCCGCCGCCUCAACCUUGGACUUGCAGCCUCCAGAGCUUCGAGAAAUAAGCAUUGCCGUGUUCUGAAUUCUCCACUCAGGGAUGCUUUUCUUUUUCAGCCUGGGACUGGAGAGAUGGUUCAGCACUGACUGCUCUUCCAGAGGACCCAGGUUCAAUUCCCAGCACCCACAUGGCAGCUCACAACUGUCUGUAACUCCAGUUCCGGGCUGUCUGGCACCCUUACACAGACACACGUGCAGGCAAAAUGCCAGUGCACAUAAAAA
Long non-coding RNA from Peromyscus californicus insignis, 518 nucleotides. RefSeq lists it as uncharacterized. The record is from RefSeq and is a predicted model, not a curated record. The transcript is spliced from 4 exons. Lineage: Eukaryota; Metazoa; Chordata; Mammalia; Rodentia; Cricetidae.